RNAcentral lists this ribosomal RNA (251 nucleotides) under Paralicella caperesca. Its description in RNAcentral is "partial 16S ribosomal RNA". The stretch from base 105 to 251 matches the Rfam family "Bacterial large subunit ribosomal RNA", at positions 2473 to 2620 of the family's 2925-position model. The record is from RNAcentral. Lineage: Eukaryota; Metazoa; Arthropoda; Malacostraca; Amphipoda; Lysianassidae.
UUAACUGGGGUAGUUAUUUCAAUUGAAUUGAAAUUAUUUUUACAGUUUUAAAUAAGUGGAUUUAGUUCUUUUAUAUAAGGAAAAUUAGGUUUAGUUACUUUAGGGAUAACAGCGUUAUAUUUUUGGAGAGAUCUUAUCUAUAAAAAUGAUUGCGACCUCGAUGUUGAAUUAAAAUUACUUUAUAGAGCAGAAUAUAUAAAAGUAGGUUUGUUCAACCUUUAAAUUUUUACAUGAUCAGAGUUCAGACCGGA